CACGUAGGGGGCAAGCGUUGUCCGGAUUUAUUGGGCGUAAAGAGCUCGUAGGUGGUUCGGUAAGUCGGGUGUUAAACCCCCAGGCUCAACCUGGGGACGCCACUCGAUACUGCUGUGACUAGAGUCCGGUAGGGGAGCGUGGAAUUCCUGGUGUAGCGGUGAAAUGCGCAGAUAUCAGGAGGAACACCGGUGGCGAAGGCGGGUCUCUGGGCCGUAACUGACGCUGAGGAGCGAAAGCGUGGGGAGCGAACAGG
This 254-nucleotide ribosomal RNA is filed under the name uncultured bacterium. RNAcentral's name for it is "partial 16S ribosomal RNA". It matches the Rfam family "Bacterial small subunit ribosomal RNA", at positions 524 to 776 of the family's 1533-position model. The record is from RNAcentral.